CAAGAUACCCUGGUGACGUGUCUUAUGUUUGACUCGGGCUGCCGCGAACACACCAUAAAAAUGCUGCACGAGACGAGAGGGCACGUCCAAGUUUGGAGUUCUGACCGCCAAGAGGGGCAUCCUGACCUCAAAAUGGGGGGGGGCCAAGGUGGGCUCCAGGCGUACUGUGCACCUUCAUCAGGUUGGCCUACCAACUACUGUGCAUGCAAACAACAAGGAAACCUGUUGUAAGUGAAGGAAUCCUUCACGCAUCACUGUCUGCGGACGUAUCGAUUUACCAGCUGUCAGAUGUGCCGAAGGACGACGCCAUAUUCAAACCAGAAUGUCCCAGACUUCUCGGUCUUCGCCCACCAAGGUGUCCUCAGGCCAGCUGUGAGACAUAAUCCCUCGAGCAUGUCCUAGGUGUGCCCCGGGGUCCCCUCCUGGCUGAACAUGUCCGGAGCAUCUCACCAGGGAGGCGUCCAGGAGACAUCCGGACUACAGUAGAUGCCCGAGCCACCUCAACUGGCCCCUCUCCAUGUGAAGGAGCAGCGGCUCCACUCUGAGCCCCUCCUGGGUGGCCGAGCUCCUCACAUUAUCUCUUGGGGUGAGUCCAGCCACCCUACGGAGAAAACUCAUCCACUCAAAAACUCAAAGUCUUUAAUAUUUCAACUUCAUGCUACUAAAAUGACAUUUUUCCUUAUACUAUUACUUGUGAAAUUAUGGCUUUUUUUCCUUGCUAGAUUACAAGUCUUUUCCUAAAAUUUUGACUUUUGAUUGAUUUUCCCAUUUUUGCUGCUGCUGUUGUUUUUCUUUGAAGUUUCCUUGUUAAAUUACAUUUUUGACUGUGCUGCGGGCUGUUAAAAUCACAGUUGCGGGCCGCAAAUGGCCCCCGGGCCGCACUUUGGACACCGCUGUACUAGACAGUGCUGCAAGUUACCAAAACCAACAAAAUUCAUGUCAUGGAGUGUCCAGCCCAAUCCCCGGACCUUAAUCCAAUGGAGAACUUGUGGGGUGACAUCAAAAAUGCUGUUUCUGCAGCAAAACCAAAACAUGUCAAUGAAUUGCGGAACGUGGUUAAAGAAUCUUGGAGUGGAAUAACGGCUGAAAGGUGCCACAAGUUGGUUGACUCCAUGCCACACAGAUGUCAAGCACUUCUAGAAAACUGUGCUCAUACAACUAAAUAUUAGUUUAGUCAUUCAAAGGAUUGCUAAAUCCUAGAAACAAACGUUUGUACAAAAUAGUUUGGAGUUUGUAAAGUCAACGACAGCCACUGCUAUUUUUUUUAACACACCCCUUUCAACCAAUUGCCCAAUUGCACAGCCUUAAGAGCGUGCGUAUCGUGAAUGCUGGGUCUUGUUGGUUUUUACUGGUAACUUGUUGGCCGUGUAGCAAUUUAAAAAUAUCCUAAAACCCUGGAUUCAUGUGGUCCCUCACAUUGGACUGCUGUUACUUUGAACGCUGCUGUACACAUCAUUUGGAAGCUCGAUAUGAAUCUCAAUUGGCAUAUACAAAAUAUUCCAUUGAUUCACAAAAGUGCCUAAAAUAAGCCUGCUAUGUGUUGUUGAUGCUGGGUUUCACAUUUGGGGAUUUUUUUAGCGAUCCCAGUUAAGUGGGUGUGUUUUGUCAGGAAGAGUUACAGUAUGUGACUUAUUACUAAAUAGUAUCUAUUUUAUGUACCACACAUUACAAGUUACAGUAUGUGACUUAUUACUAAAUAGUAUCUAUUUUAUGUACCACACAUUACAUAUGGCGGAUGUUUUAGUGGCUGCAAAGCACUGUAAAAAUCAUUCAUGCAAUCAUUUGUGGUUCUUUAACUUGAAGUUUCUUGCCAUACUGGAUUGGGUUUCAUAGUUUUGUGUGAACAUUGAAAAUGACGUCCUAUAUCAUAAAGGUGUCAAUGAGAAUAAAUAAUCCAAGGUGCCGAAAAGUACAAAACCAAAGUUUUUGCAGAUGAAUAAUGAUUUAUUCCUUUGGUUUCACGCUAGAAUUGUCGAGCUUGGUUGCGUCUUCAGCUCAAGAGGAGUACAAAUUGCUCGAUGUCAUGUUGCCAUAGCGACUCCAAAUUGUGAACAAUGUAACGAUGGGGCUCAAUGUGCAAAACUGACUGACUUCACUGACCUUUGUGUUUUUACACUAGAACUCUAUGGCGUUCUAUCAUGUCUCUGAAUUUGGGGAUUUUUUUUAUGGUUCUAAAUAAUCUUUGAUGACCCCACCAGGACAAAGCAGUAGAAAAGUUUUGUUCUUUUGUUGGCUUCUCGUCACCAUGUCGUUACCAAUGUGUUCAACUGCCAUGAAUGGUAGUAAAGGACAUUUUAAUUUCGGUUGAAUUUUCUAAACAGAAGGUAAACAACAUAUGCAGGCGGGUGGACAUUCUUGAGAUCUAUGAGUUUGAGAACAAACUCCUCCUUUUGUGUGUGCGGGUGUGCUAAAAAAGUUGGUAGAAGCUUCAAAGCAUCGGAACACCAAAUGUAGCUUUGUAUGAUAAAUAUAUCACAGGGAUUGUCUUCUGCAACACCAUGAGCUGUGUUGUCCUAUUGCGCCAGCAUGUCCUUCAAACUCUCCUCGUGAGCAGAUAAGCCGCGUCAGUGGCACCGAAGCAGCAGGCCUGCUGCAACAAGCCUGACAACUUUGCGCUGAAAGGACCAUGGGAGUUGGACGGAGGACCGCCACGUCAUGUUCCGUAAAUACAUAUUGCACCCCCGUUAAAGCACCAAGUAAAUCAGAAGUAAGCUUGGCAAAAGGGGGUGUGCACCACAAGUGUUCACACAUCUCAAUGUCAGUGAAGAAACCACCUGAUCCCAGUAAGCGCUCUUGGUGUUAGUUUGGCGUGUGACAUACACUACAUACUAGUGUAAUCAUCUCCAUUAGGCAUUCUAGUAACAAGACAGUAUUUCAUAGCUGAAACCCUGAGUAUGCUGAAUAUUUCUCCUUUCAUUUGCUCAUACUAGCAGGACCUCACAUAGUGUGUGUAUGAGGGCAAAUUCCAGUCCUGAUGCUUCUUAUUGUUUCCAGAUCUGUGCUGAGUAUCCUCCGGUUACUUUUGCUAGACUUCCCAUCUUCAUUCCCGCUCCAGGAUAGUACUCCUGUUUUACCAGGUACCAUCCAACUUGUUACUCAUUUGGGAUGGUGUCAUUCAUUAUGGGACCCCCGUAAUGAGUAGUUCAGGGCAAUAUGGCUCCACUUGGUUCGUGACCCAUGACGUGGCCAAAGUGGACGUAGGUGGGAAGAACAGCCGACACCCACAUUUACUGACCACAUGGUUUGGCAUGUGCUUGUGCAUCGGAUGGAACCUUCCUAUGUUUUUCCCCAGGGAGGCGCAGCCCUGCAGGUGGCUAAGAUGGGACCUGGCGUUUCGGGCCUUUCCAGAGAGAGGAGGAGUCUUCCUUCGGUGAGCUUCGAUCCCAGGGUCUACAUCGACGCCGCAGGGGUGUCUGGGGGCGUGCCAGGCCAGCUUCAAGCUUGUAAUCACUUGGGGACGGGCUUUUUUUUUUUGUUAGGGUGGUCCACUGUCAAUAAAAUGUAGAUUCUUCAGUAGUUCACUUACUCAAGGAGUGAGUCAGUUAUCCUUUUAGAUGUUUCAGAGCUUCAGUUAUUCAGCCAACUUGUUAGUGUAGUAUAAAUUAGGUAGCAUUCAAUAUUUUCGUGACCGUCAUUUAUAUGACGUUCCACACAGGCACCCAUAUGAAGGUUUGCAGUUAAACACAGGCUUGGUAGUUUCCAGGAAACAAUAGUUAAAUAGUGCAGCGAAGCAGCUUAGCGUCAAGCAUAGCAUUAGCUAUAGGAAGGGACCAGGCCAGCCGAGACGAUGCCCGAAAGACAUACUGUAUCUGUCAUACUGUAUCUCUCCGCCACUGCUAACAGAAAUUUCCCACCACAAGUUCAGCUGAUGGAACAAAUUUCUUUUUUUGUGGCGUGUAAGAUUUUCAUUUUGUAUUGUUUUACAAACUAAUUGACGUUGAACUAAGUCAAGGUGCCACGCACAGGCAGUGUUCCCCCGUUACAUCGAGGUUCACCUUUCGCGUACUCGCUGUGUGUUGUGUUCUGCGUCCUGGUUGGCUGAGGGAGCACCCACGCAUUGUGUUCUGCUUCCUGAUUGGCUAAGGGACUGUAGAGCAUUGUCAAUCAAUCUCCUCCGUGCCUCCCGUUCCGUACAGAAUGCGUUCGGUUUGCCAAAAUUACAUAAAUGUUCGAUCGUGAGCAGCGUGACUCUGAAGUGUAUGUUUGCAAGUUUCAUCCCCGACAUGUUGACGAAACAUUCGGUACCGCCAAAGGCACCUGCAGUCGCACCCGAGAGGCAGAGGAGGAAGGAGCAGUCGCAGCUAUAGGGCGCCGUUGCAGAAGGAGGAAGGAAGGGGGAAAAUAUGACGACAGCAGCAAAAUGUUUGACAAGGAUACAAAAACGCUACAGUACAGCAGACCGGCGCCAGGACGACGACGAGGCAGAGGAGUGAAAUACGCACGAGUCCCUGAAUCAUUUCUGGUGUCCAACCUCGUAGGUCAAUCAUUAAAAUUCAAAGGAAGGUUUGAACUUUUUUUGAGUGUUUAAACAAGAGAGAAAUGUGAUGAAAUGUUCAUGCCUGUCUGGAGAAUAGCGUAUCAAGUGUAAGGUGAGGGCUUUUACAGCCUUCAAACAUAUCAUCCUUGUAAAACAAUAAA
Long non-coding RNA from Dunckerocampus dactyliophorus (ringed pipefish), 4638 nucleotides. RefSeq lists it as uncharacterized. Lineage: Eukaryota; Metazoa; Chordata; Actinopteri; Syngnathiformes; Syngnathidae. The record is from RefSeq and is a predicted model, not a curated record. The transcript has 4 exons.